CCCCCAUCAGGGGAAUAGCCCGCCGAAAGGCGGAUUAAUGCCCCAUAGGCCCAGGGCGCCGCAUGGCGCUAUGGGUAAAGCUCCGGCGGAUGGGGAUGGGCAUGCGUGCCAUUAGCUAGUUGGGGCGGUAACGGCGCACCAAGGCGACGAUGGCUAGGGGGUCUGAGAGGAUGGUCCCCCACACUGGUACUGAGACACGGACCAGACUCCUACGGGAGGCAGCAGUGAGGAAUAUUGGUCAAUGGGCGGAAGCCUGAACCAGCCAUGCCGCGUGCAGGAUGACGGCCCUACGGGUUGUAAACUGCUUUUCCCCGGGAAGAAUAAGCCCCUCGUGAGGGGUGAUGCCGGUACCGGGGGAAUAAGGAUCGGCUAACUCCGUGCCAGCCGCAGC
RNAcentral lists this ribosomal RNA (391 nucleotides) under uncultured bacterium. Its description in RNAcentral is "bacterial SSU rRNA". It matches the Rfam family "Bacterial small subunit ribosomal RNA", at positions 129 to 518 of the family's 1533-position model. The record is from RNAcentral.